GGGUCAGUAGGUUGGUCGUGCUACCGGUACGUACUGGUCUCACUGAUUCCUCCUUCCUGAAGAACCGUAAUGCCAUUAAUUUGGUGUUGCGGGGAAACAGGACUGUUACUUUGAAAAAAUUAGAGUGUUUAAAGCAGGCUAACGCUUGAAUACAUUAGCAUGGAAUAAUGAAAUAGGACGAUCGAUCCUAUUUUGUUGGUUUCUAGGAUUGACGUA
Molecule: ribosomal RNA, 216 nt
Filed under: Glomeromycotina sp.
Lineage: Eukaryota; Fungi; Glomeromycota
Description: partial small subunit ribosomal RNA
Rfam family: Eukaryotic small subunit ribosomal RNA (bases 40-216)
Source: RNAcentral